GUGAGGCGCCGGUCAAGUUGCUUCGAACAAUGAACGCCGUGCGGACAAUGAUUGCUCUUAGUGGGCCGAUUUUGGUAAGCAGAACUGGCGAUGCGGGAUGAACCGAAAGCGACGCUAAGGUGCCAAACUCCCGGCUCAUUCAGACACCAGAAAAGGUGUUGAUUCAUACAGACAGCAGGACGGUGGCCAUGGAAGUCGGAAUCCGCUAAGGAGUGUGUAACAACUCACCUGCCGAAUGGAUCAGCCCUGAAAAUGGAUGGCGCUUAAGCAGGGGACCGAGGCGUUGCCGUUGGGGCAAAUACGAGGCCCUGAUGAGUAGGAGGGCGUGGGGGUUUUGAAAUACGGUACAUUCGCGUGGAAGCCUUGGGCGUGAGCUCGGGUGGAGCGGCCCCUAGUGUAGAUCUUGGUGGUAGUAGCAAAUAUUCAAGUGGGAACCUUGAAGACUGAAGUGGGGAAGGGUUCCACGCGAACAGUGCUUGGACGUGGGUUAGUCGGUCCUAAGAGAUGGGGAAACUCUGUAGCCAAGUGCGCUCUUAUUUUUUCGCAGCGCAGUCCAUCAAAAGGGAAGCGGGUUAACAUUCUCGCACCGGGAUGUGGAAACUGUGGUUACCGCAAACUGCGGCAACGCAAAUGAACUUGGGGACGCCCGUAGGAGCUCCGAACAGGGAUCUCUUUCCUGUUUAACGCGCUCAACCCCCUGGAAUCGGUUUGUCCGGAGAUAGGGGGCGGAAGGCCGGAAAAGCACCGCACGUCUUGUGGUGUUCGGAACGCUCGUAAUGGCCCUUGAAAACCCAGGGGAAAGCAGCCGUCCACGCGCCUCUUCUGGAUGCGGGACGAGUAAUUCUCACACCUGGCCGUACCCAUAACCGCAUCAGGUCCCCAAGGUGAACAGCCUCUAGUCAAUAGAAUAAUGUAGAUAAGGGAAGUCGGCAAAAUAGAUCCGUAACUUUGGGAAAAGGAUUGGCUCUAAUGUUCGGGCCUGUUGGGACGCGCGGGCCUAGACGCCAGCGAGCGGCAGAAGGCUACCCCUUUUUCCGGGAUGGCUGGAAGCUGCUUGUUGGAAGAAACCGUGUCGAAUAGAGGCUAGCUGGGUGGCGCCCCCCUUUGCUUUCGGGGAGGGGGGGGCCCGCCUGCUGUGCUUCUUCCCGCUUGCGAUCAACGAACGGAUUAGAACUGGUACGGACAAGGGGAAUCCGACUGUUUAAUUAAAACAAAGCAUUGCGACGCCCGCAAACGGUGUUAACGCAAUGUGAUUUCUGCCCAGUGCUCUGAAUGUCAAAGUGAAGAAAUUCAACCAAGCGCGGGUAAACGGCGGGAGUAACUAUGACUCUCUUUUCCUGUGUACGCGCGCGCGCCCCGCUGCGCUACUUUUUGAGAGAGAUAGGCGGGCUGAAAAAGGUUAAGCCGUCUAGUUCCUCUUUCCCUAUGGAGAGAGGGGCAACACACCUGGUUGCGGGGACCCUGCCCGCCUUUUUUUCCAAGAAAAAGGCGGGAACCAGCCCAUUCCUACCCCUGCUUGUGAGGCAUAUAGUAAGUAGCAGCAGGGGGAUCUCGGCGAGAGGCCGAACCCGGAAAAAGGAACAACGUGGGCUGGGAGGCAACCUGCAGGCGAGUCCGUAACUAUAUGAUUAUCGACGGGCCGUCUCAACGACUGGUAAGGUGUGGGUUUGCUUUGACAAAAAAGCGGGCUUAAGGUACAGUCUAAUCCCACCCGCCAAGGGUGCUUGGGUGUAAUCCCCGUAUGCAAAAAGGGGGGGAACUAGCCCAGGGGCUGGGACGAUGGGAGGAAAUGCCCCGUCCCUAUAGUCGGUAGAAAUGAAGGUAGCCAAAUGCCUCGUCAUCUAGACACUACUUGGAUGAGAUAGUCUGAGUGAAAAGCUUAUGCAGGCUAGUACACAAAGCAGCUUUUUCUGCUUGCGUGCGACACUCCUUGUACAGGGAAGCCCUCCACUGAAAGGCACGUGGUACCACCCUCUGCGGGGAAACUCGCGGGCGGGGAUCCCGGGUAAUGACCGGAGCCGAUGGUAAAAACCCACGUGACCUAUGGGGUGACCCUGUGGCGAGAGGCUACGUCGUAAAAAGAAACACUUGCGAUAUGCCUCCGUCGCAGAGACUGAACGGGAGUGGGCUGAGGUUCUCCCGUAGUGGAGAAUUUUUGGCUUGAGAUACAGUCCGAGCCUCAGGGAUGGAAAAAAAACCUGCGGAACAGCUCGAAUUAGUGACGCGCAUGAAUGGAUUAACGAGAUUCCCACUGUCCCUAUCUACUAUCUAGCGAAACCACAGCCAAGGGAACGGGCUUGGAAGAAUCAGCGGGGAAAGAAGACCCUGUUGAGCUUGACUCUAGUCCGACUUUGUGAGAUGAGU
RNAcentral lists this ribosomal RNA (2364 nucleotides) under Pyropia haitanensis. RNAcentral describes it as "eukaryotic LSU rRNA". It matches the Rfam family "Eukaryotic large subunit ribosomal RNA", at positions 1075 to 2451 of the family's 3401-position model. Lineage: Eukaryota; Rhodophyta; Bangiophyceae; Bangiales; Bangiaceae. The record is from RNAcentral.